CAGGUUUACCUGUGUGACUGCGUACCUUUUGUAUAAUGGGUCAGCGACUUAUAUUCUGUAGCAAGGUUAACCGUAUAGGGGAGCCGGAGGGAAACCGAGUCUUAACCGGGCGUUAAGUUGCAGGGUAUAGACCCGAAACCCGGUGAUCUAGCCAUGGGCAGGUUGAAGGUUGGGUAACACUAACUGGAGGACCGAACCGACUAAUGUUGAAAAAUUAGCGGAUGACCUGUGGCUGGGGGUGAAAGGCCAAUCAAACCGGGAGAUAGCUGGUUCUCCCCGAAAGCUAUUUAGGUAGCGCCUCGUGAAUUCAUCUCCGGGGGUAGAGCACUGUUUCGGCUAGGGGGCCAUCCCGGCUUACCAACCCGAUGCAAACUGCGAAUACCGGAGAAUGUUAUCACGGGAGACACACGGCGGGUGCUAACGUCCGUCGUGAAGAGGGAAACAACCCAGACCGCCAGCUAAGGUCCCAAAGUCAUGGUUAAGUGGGAAACGAUGUGGGAAGGCCCAGACAGCCAGGAUGUUGGCUUAGAAGCAGCCAUCAUUUAAAGAAAGCGUAAUAGCUCACUGGUCGAGUCGGCCUGCGCGGAAGAUGUAACGGGGCUAAACCAUGCACCGAAGCUGCGGCAGCGACACUCAGGUGUUGUUGGGUAGGGGAGCGUUCUGUAAGCCUGCGAAGGUGGCCUGUGAGGGUUGCUGGAGGUAUCAGAAGUGCGAAUGCUG
RNAcentral lists this ribosomal RNA (720 nucleotides) under Salmonella enterica subsp. enterica serovar Infantis. Its description in RNAcentral is "partial 23S ribosomal RNA". It matches the Rfam family "Bacterial large subunit ribosomal RNA", at positions 580 to 1299 of the family's 2925-position model. The record is from RNAcentral. Lineage: Bacteria; Pseudomonadati; Pseudomonadota; Gammaproteobacteria; Enterobacterales; Enterobacteriaceae.